Cicer arietinum (chickpea) is the source of this 2031-nucleotide non-coding RNA. The record is from RefSeq and is a predicted model, not a curated record. NCBI's taxonomy places the organism in Eukaryota, Viridiplantae, Streptophyta, Magnoliopsida, Fabales, Fabaceae.
GAAGACCCCAACAAAUUUUUUUGCGCGACUCGGUGCAAACUCAGUGCUCCGAAAUGGACCGUGGUCUAACUCAGUUGACGACUCGGAGCAGAACUCACCUCGUAAUCUCAUUCGUUGAAAUCCACAUUUUCUUCAGUGCUGUGCUUCUCCAACGCUGUGCCAGGAACUUGAACUUCAUUUGGAAAAAAAAGGGAGAUUCUUGGAGAGAGCUAUUAAAAUAUUGGGUUUUUAACACAUAUUAAAGCCCUGAGAACAUAUGCCCCAUUUGUUAAAAUUACCAUAAAAUGGGUGCAUUGUGUCUCCAUGUGAAGCUACUAAUACUUAAGUUGGACAAUGCCAUCGUGUUCUCCUCUCUCUCACACAUUGUUUAAGGUAGUCAAUGCCGUGUAAUAGGACAGCUGAGCCUCAUAUCCUCUCCAUUUCAUUUGUUUAAUUACUAUAUUGUUGGUGUAUAUAAAGUUAAUAAAUGUUUAAUUUAUGUCACAUGUUUUAAAAAUGUGUGUCAAUAUAGAAAUACAAAAUUAUAAUAAUUGAAUAUUCUAUAUUUUUUGAGAAAUUGAUAAGAUCUCAACUCGUAUUGAGUUAUGUAACAAAAUCCGAUUAGAUGAUUUUUCACACAAUAAUUAGUCUUAAAGAUAGGACUGUCCAAUAUAGUCUAGGUCUAAUGGUGAACUUCACUAUUUUUAAUUAAAUUUUAUUGAAAUAUUAUAUUUUCUUUUUAUUUUUUAUUAUUAUAAAAUUAUUUUUUUACUAAAAAAUAGUAACAGUCUUGACCAUUUUCUGAGAGGUCUAUAUAUUAGACACGCCUCGUAAACAUAAUUGGAUAUUGAUUCCAUAAUUGUGGAACCAGUGGUUGGGUGGAAAAGCUAGAAAGAGAAAGGGAUUGGAGGGAUUAGGUGAGUCCUUUUGGAUUCUUACUAUAAUGUUGGGCAGAUAAGCGUGUAUAUCAUAGCUUAAAUAAAGGAUUACUUUUCCAUUUUUGGAGAGCUAAUUAUGUUAAAGUUAUCUGGACGACCACUCCACCCACCUUUACGGUCCUAAAAUUCUCGGGUUUAAUUUAGGUAAUAGGUAGUAUAGGGUUGUACAAUUUUUCAAACUGAAGUUAUCUUAAUACAAUCAUUGAUGUAUUAUCGGGUCCUUUUUUUAUAUAUAAAAAUUGAUUGAAUUAAGAAAUCAAACGAGGGAGACUCUUGCGUAUAUCAUUGGUUAAUAAAUACUCCAUCGAAAAUGAAAUCUAAAAUGAAAUAUAAGUAAAAAGUAUUUAAAAAGUUGACGUUUCUAUCAAUUUUAAGUACUCAAAGAAGGAAAACUAGAAUCCAAUCAAAAAGUUGUGGAGGAAUGACCUUAAUUAACUAUCAAACUAGUAAAUAUGCACAACAGUUGGUUUGUCUAAAGCCAUGAACUACUGAUAUUCUCCAAUUAGAUUGUUUGCUAAAACCAUUUUUCAAAAAAGCCAGACUUCACCAUGUUAACAAUAACAGCCGAGUUUAGGCAAAACAUCAUCCACUUGAUGUUGAAAAGUCUUCCCUAUUCACGAGUACAUUCUAUUCCUUACAAUAAAUAAUACUUGGAAGUGUCAUAUUUGUACAGAGAAUGAUAAUGUUAUAUUUGGAACCUACUUCCUUGAAAAUGUGUGUAGAAACCUUGAAACUUUAAGUUCUCUUUCAAUUAGGGGUCAUAAAGUUUGUAGUCAUACUUUAUUUAUACAUAGCAGCAUUAGGUGGUGUGUUUUGAAUCUUUUGAUACCAUCUUACAUGAAAUAAACAAUUCAUUCUAGAAGAGUAGAGAGGAAUAUGUAGAAGAAUGCUUCUAACCAUUGCUUAUUGAUGGAAAGGAAAAGCUUGCAUACAUAAACAAUUAAUUAAGUGCAGCUAUACCAUAUAACCCCUAUGAAUAUAAAUGUAUGGAUAACUAAAUAGGUACAAGAGUAACCGUGACCCUGUCUCAUUUGAUUGAAAGCUUUUUAUGCAUCAUUUGGAGCUAUUUUAAACAGCUACAUCACAUUCGCAUGAACGAUUGUGGUUAGAAAAA